AAGAUAUGUGGAAAAAAAGAGGACAGGGUUUUUUGAAACUUUUCACAAAAUAUUGUCACAAAAGAUGCCUAUUUUUUUUUAAUUUUGUGACUUUUUAUUUUUUUUUAAUUUUUUUUAUUUAUUUAUGAUAGUCACAGAGAGAGAGAGAGAGGAGAGAGAGGCAGAGACACAGGCAGAGGGAGAAGCAGGCUCCAUGCACUGGGAGCCCGAUGUGGGAUUCCUUCCCGGGUCUCCAGGAUAGCGCCCUAGGCCGAAGGCAGGCGCCAAACCGCUGCGCCACCAUGGGAUCCCAAAAGAUACCUAUAUUUAGCCAGCAUAUGUGUAGAAAAGAAGACGGGGUUUUUUUUUUUUUUUUGAAGCUUUUCACAAAAUAUUGGAACAAAAAGUACCUCUGUAUCACUAUGAUAUUAUAAAAAUGACAAGGUUAUCUGAAGCUUCUCACAAAAUAUGUCACUGUAAAUCCUGUAUUUGGCCAGCUUAUGUGUGUGAUAAAGAACAGGGUUUUUUGAAGUUUUUCACAAAAUAUUGAAACUGAAAAUACCUACAUUUUGCCACAAUAUGUAUAAACAAGAGGACAAGGGGUUUUUUUCAACCCUCUCACAAGAAGCAAUGUUAGGAGGCAUGAGGGGAAAAAAAAAACAAUGGCUUUCGUUGAGAUAAAAAACAUCCGAUUGAAAUGUUUGAGAGAAAAAAACAUCCAAUUGAGAUGUUUGAGAUAAAAAUAUCUAAUUGAGAUGUUUGAGAUAAAAAACAUCGGAUUAAAAAAAAAACCGAUUUCAAACUUUAUGGGGUUAUUUUAUUGGUGGAGUGAUUUUCGUUUCAUUUGUGGAGCCUAUAAAAAGGCCACAGGGUUAUUGAUGACUCAAAUCAUAGGCAAAUUAUUAGUAGUCAUAUGAAUUUACCAACAAAUUCAUUUGUACUACUUUGGGACCUAUUUCAACCUAUUUUCAGAGGGCUCACAAGAUUUAUAAACAUAAAGGAUGUAAUUCUAAAGUGGCACAACUUCUCCAGAAAAGAACACAGAGGACACGUCUCCAGCUCCUACUGUGUAGCAGUGACUAUUAAAGGCUGGCUCUCUAGGCUUCACAUCUUCUUUGGGACCGAAGCAGACAAGGGGACACUGCCUAUGUUCUGUAACAGGUCACUUAUGCUCAAUAUCAAACUUUGGUUCACAGAAUUAAUGGUGGAAGUUGUAGCUACCUUUAUCCUGGGUAAGAUAAGAAGUUAUGUUCCUGCAUUGUUCGUGACAUGGCCGGACAACCAAUGGAAAUUCCUGGGUUGUUUCAAAAAGAUGUGCCAGUUUAUGGUGAAGAAGACCCUUAUUUAUGUCCUGAGUUCUCUUGCGUCCAUUAUACACAAUCUAAUUGUUGGAGAAGUCUUCAUCAAUAAGCUAUAUUACUUUCUACACAAAAAGAUGGUUUCUGAACCCACAGCUGUGGUUGUCGUUUAGCUACUCUUACACCUACUCACCCUGCAGUCGUUGGGGGGAUACUUGGCACCCGGAGGAGAGCAAAGGACUUUCCUCGCUUAUCUACUGCCACUGGAGGCUUGUGUGCACGCUCGGCUCUCUCCCCGAGCCUGGCCCAUUCUGUCCUCUCACAAGGAACACUGGCUCACAACUGUGAGUGGAAACAUUGAUAUUGAAACCCUAAUGCUCAGCAGCCUGACAGGGCGGCCGGAGACCAAUGUGCAAGUUGGUCUGAUCCGCCUCCGCGUCUGAUGUCACAUGAACUUGCAGCCCGUACCAACCGACACACAGCUCCGUUCUGCCACAGUUGUCACAAGGAAGCUUAUUUCGCUGAACUCCACCCAGUGACACCGUCUCUAUGUGGCAAAGCCAGUUAUUUAUGCUGCAUCGAUCCUAAUCCUUUCAGAAGAACUUCUACAACCUAUGGUGUUACCUUCAUCAAUUGAGCCCCUCACCCCCUCAGCCCCCAGAGCACAUUUGGUUCUUCUUGAAUCUGUGUCUCCUUGAUUUCUUUUUUUCUUUUCAAGAUUUUAUUUUUUCAUCAGAGACACACACACAGAGAGAGAGAGAGAGAGAGAGAGUCAAAGACACAGGCAGAGGGAGAAGCAGGCUCCAUGCAGGGAGCCCGACGUGGGACUUGAUCCCGUGUCUCUAGGAUUAGGCCCUGGGCUGAGGCAGUGCUAAACCGCUGAGCUACCCGGGCUGCCCCUUUGAUUUCAGUACAGUUUUUUUUGUUUUGUUUUUUUGUGUGUGUGUUUGUCUUUGCAGCCUCAACUCUGUCCUGUUUCACAUACUGAGCAAAUAAAGUUCCUUUCAGGCAAUGGCA
This 2294-nucleotide long non-coding RNA is filed under the name Canis lupus dingo (dingo). Its description in RNAcentral is "lncRNA (ENSCAFG00020014763.1)". Lineage: Eukaryota; Metazoa; Chordata; Mammalia; Carnivora; Canidae. The record is from RNAcentral.